Molecule: ribosomal RNA, 1242 nt
Filed under: metagenome
Description: SSU rRNA
Rfam family: Eukaryotic small subunit ribosomal RNA
Source: RNAcentral
AGACCGUUCUCUUCAGAGGCCGGUCAUUGGAAUGGGUACAAUUUAAACCCUUUAACGAGUAUCUAUGAGAGGGCAAGUCUGGUGCCAGCAGCCGCGGUAAUUCCAGCUCUCAAAAUGCAUAGAAUCAUUGCUGCGGUUAAAAAGCUCGUAGUUGGAUCUGUGCUGGCGGGUCGGUCCACCUUCGGGUGCGCACUGAUUUCGCCGGCUUUCCUGCUGUAUUUGGCCCUGUGCCUUUCAACGGGUGCAGUGUCCAGUGCAGCAAGUUUACCUUGAACAAAUCAGAGUGCUUCAAACAGGCGUUUCGCUUGAAUGUUCGUGCAUGGAAUAAUAGAAGAGGAUUUCGGUUCUAUUUUAUUGGUUUUAUAGACUGAGAUAAUGGUUAACAGAGACUAACGGGGGCAUUAGUAUUGCUACGUGAGAGGUGAAAUUCUUGGACCGUAGCAAGACUGACUACAGCGAAAGCAUUUGCCAAGAAAGUCUUCAUUAAUCAAGAACGAAAGUCAGAGGUUCGAAGGCGAUCAGAUACCGCCCUAGUUCUGACCGUAAACGAUGCCAACUAGUGAUCCGCCGGUGGAACAUUCGCCCUGGUGGGGAACUUCCCGGAAACGAAAGUCUUCCGGUUCCGGGGGAAGUAUGGUUGCAAAGCUGAAACUUAAAGGAAUUGACGGAAGGGCACCACCAGGAGUGGAGCCUGCGGCUUAAUUUGACACAACACGGGAAAACUCACCCGGCCCGGACACCGUAAGGAUUGACAGAUUGAUAGCUCUUUCAUGAUUCGGUGGAUGGUGGUGCAUGGCCGUUCUUAGUUCGUGGAGCGAUUUGUCUGGUUUAUUCCGAUAACGAGCGAGACUCUGGCCUACUAAAUAGUUUACACAUUGCUUCUGUGUGCAUAACUUAGAGGGAUUUUCGGUGUUCAGCCGCAAGAAAUUGAGCAAUAACAGGUCUGUGAUGCCCUUAGAUGUCCGGGGCUGCACGCGCGCUACACUGGCAAAAUCAGCGUGCUUGUCCUUCCCCGAAGGGGGUUGGUAAACUCGUGAAAAUUUGCCGUGAUUGGGAUCGGAAAUUGCAAUUAUUUUCCGUGAACGAGGAAUUCCAAGUAAGUGCGAGUCAUCAACUCGCGUUGAUUACGUCCCUGCCCUUUGUACACACCGCCCGUCGCUGCCCGGGACUGAGCCGUUUCGAGAAACUUGGAGACCGCUGAUCUGGUAACUUCGAUUGCCAUUUUGGUGGGAACCAAUUUAA